GAAGUUUAAAAACCCUCUCUCCUAGCCCUCAUUCACAUUAGCUCACUGCUGUUUCUCUUAGCAGACUCAACUCGGCCUCCAUUUUCCUGUGACUCAUCAUCUCACCCACCAAUCAAAUCUUACCCAUUCUGCAACAGUAGACUCUCCAUCGGCCAGAGUCCAAGAUCUAAUCUCCAGGCUCACACUAGAUGACAAGAUGUCCCAGCUCGUUAACACAGCUCCGGUCAUUCUCCGGUCAUUCCAAGAGUUGGCAUCCCCGAGUACGAAUGGUGGUCUGAAGCCCUACAUGGUAUUGCCUUUUUCUCCACCGUACACUCAGGUAUGCGUUUCAACUGAACAAUUCAAUCCGCCACCAGUUUUCCUCAGGUCAUUCUCACUGCUGCUUCCUUCGAUGUUCAUCUUUGGUACCGCAUUGGUCAGGCAAUUGGAAGGGAGGCUAGAACAAUAUACAAUGCCGGACAAGGAACAGGGAUGACGUUUUGGGCGACAAACAUUAAUAUAUUCAGGGACCCGAGGUGGGGAAGAGGGCAAGAAACACCAGGCGAGGAUCCUGUUGUCACGGGGAAAUAUGCAGUCUCAUUCGUGAGAGGGAGACAAGGGGACACUUUUAAAGGAGGGAAACUUGGUGAAGAUCUUCAAGCUUCAGCUUGUUGUAAGCAUUUCACAGCUUAUGAUUUGGAUAACUGGAAAGGAGUGAACCGAUUUGUCUUCACUGCAUAGGUUAGUCAACAGGAUUUAGCAGAUACAUAUAUGUCUCCAUUUCGGAGAUGCAUACAAGAAGGGAAAGCCAGUGGCAUAAUGUGUGCUUAUAAUCUUGUUAAUGGAGUCCCCAAUUGUGCAGACUACAAUCUCUUGUCCGAAACAGCAAGAAGACAGUGGGGUUUAAACGGGUAUAUAACAUCAGACUGUGAUGCUGUCUCCAUCAUUCAUGAGGAACAAGGAUAUGCCAAGUUACCAGAGGAUGCUGUAGCUGAUGUUCUUAAAGCC
Long non-coding RNA from Hibiscus syriacus, 987 nucleotides. RefSeq lists it as uncharacterized. The record is from RefSeq and is a predicted model, not a curated record. The transcript is spliced from 4 exons. NCBI's taxonomy places the organism in Eukaryota, Viridiplantae, Streptophyta, Magnoliopsida, Malvales, Malvaceae.